RNAcentral lists this ribosomal RNA (497 nucleotides) under uncultured bacterium. RNAcentral's name for it is "partial 16S ribosomal RNA". It matches the Rfam family "Bacterial small subunit ribosomal RNA", at positions 28 to 507 of the family's 1533-position model. The record is from RNAcentral.
GACGAACGCUGGCGGCGUGCCUAAUACAUGCAAGUAGAACGCUGAAACUUGGUGCUUGCACCGAGCGGAUGAGUUGCGAACGGGUGAGUAACGCGUAGGUAACCUGCCUGGUAGCGGGGGAUAACUAUUGGAAACGAUAGCUAAUACCGCAUAAGAGUAGAUGUUGCAUGACAUUUUCUUAAAAGGUGCAAUUGCACCACUACCAGAUGGACCUGCGUUGUAUUAGCUAGUUGGUGGGGUAACGGCUCACCAAGGCGACGAUACAUAGCCGACCUGAGAGGGUGAUCAGCCGCACUGGGAGGGAGACACGGCACAGAGGGCUAGGGGAGGGAGCAGGAGGGAUUCGGGGGGAAGGGGCGGAAGUCUGAGCGAGCAACGCCGAGUGAGGGAAGAACGUUGCCGGAUGGGAAAGCACUGUUGUAGGGGAAGAAAGAGCGUGAGAGUGGAAAGUACACACUGUGACGGUAACGGAUCAGAAAGCGACGGCUAACUACGUG